RNAcentral lists this transfer RNA (74 nucleotides) under Hydrogenothermus marinus. It matches the Rfam family "tRNA". Rfam says of the family: Transfer RNA (tRNA) molecules are approximately 80 nucleotides in length. Lineage: Bacteria; Pseudomonadati; Aquificota; Aquificia; Aquificales; Hydrogenothermaceae. The record is from Rfam by way of RNAcentral.
GGGCCUUUAGCUCAGACGGUUAGAGCGUACCCCUGAUAAGGGUAAGGUCGGUGGUUCGAAUCCACCAAGGCCCA